Molecule: ribosomal RNA, 680 nt
Filed under: Pseudonocardia sp. YIM 63646
Lineage: Bacteria; Bacillati; Actinomycetota; Actinomycetes; Pseudonocardiales; Pseudonocardiaceae
Description: bacterial SSU rRNA
Rfam family: Bacterial small subunit ribosomal RNA
Source: RNAcentral
UGCAAGUCGAGCGGUAAGGCCCUUCGGGGUACACGAGCGGCGAACGGGUGAGUAACACGUGGGUGACCUGCCCUCAGCUCUGGGAUAAGCCUGGGAAACUGGGUCUAAUACCGGAUAUGACCUUCCAUCGCAUGGUGGGGGGUGGAAAGUUUUUCGGCUGGGGAUGGGCCCGCGGCCUAUCAGCUUGUUGGUGGGGUGAUGGCCUACCAAGGCGACGACGGGUAGCCGGCCUGAGAGGGCGACCGGCCACACUGGGACUGAGACACGGCCCAGACUCCUACGGGAGGCAGCAGUGGGGAAUAUUGCGCAAUGGGCGAAAGCCUGACGCAGCGACGCCGCGUGGGGGAUGACGGCCUUCGGGUUGUAAACCUCUUUCGACCGGGACGAAGCGAGAGUGACGGUACCGGUAGAAGAAGCACCGGCCAACUACGUGCCAGCAGCCGCGGUAAUACGUAGGGUGCGAGCGUUGUCCGGAAUUAUUGGGCGUAAAGAGCUCGUAGGCGGUGUGUCGCGUCGGUCGUGAAAACUUGGGGCUUAACUCUGAGCUUGCGGUCGAUACGGGCAUCACUUGAGUUCGGCAGGGGAGACUGGAAUUCCUGGUGUAGCGGUGAAAUGCGCAGAUAUCAGGAGGAACACCGGUGGCGAAGGCGGGUCUCUGGGCCGAUACUGACGCUGAGGAG